RNAcentral lists this ribosomal RNA (443 nucleotides) under uncultured bacterium. RNAcentral describes it as "partial 16S ribosomal RNA". It matches the Rfam family "Bacterial small subunit ribosomal RNA", at positions 338 to 795 of the family's 1533-position model. The record is from RNAcentral.
CCUACGGGAGGCUGCAGUGGGGAAUAUUGGGCAAUGGGCGCAAGCCUGACCCAGCAACGCCGCGUGAAGGAAGAAGGCUUUCCGGUUGUAAACUUCUUUUAUGAGGGACGAAACACAUGACGGUACCUCAUGAAUAAGCCACUGCUAACUACGUGCCAGCAGCCGCGGUAAUACGUAGGUGGCAAGCGUUAUCCGGAUUUACUGGGUGUAAAGGGCGUGUAGGCGGGACUGGAAGUCAGAUGUGAAAAUUAGGGGCUCAACCCAGAAACUGCAUUUGAAACUGUAGUUCUUGAGUGAUGGAGAGGAAGGCGGAAUUCCGGGUGUAGCGGUGAAAUGCGUAGAUAUACGGAGGAACACCAGUGGCGAAGGCGGCCUGCUGGACAGUAACUGACGCUGAGGCGCGAAAGCGUGGGGAGCAAACAGGAUUAGAUACCCCAGUAGUC